Molecule: long non-coding RNA, 1603 nt
Organism: Triticum aestivum (bread wheat)
Lineage: Eukaryota; Viridiplantae; Streptophyta; Magnoliopsida; Poales; Poaceae
Exons: 2
Source: RefSeq, a predicted model, not a curated record
CAUGCAGCCCAGCCGUCCACACAUCUCACCCUUCUCCCCUGGGCCCCCGCGUCGUCCACCACUUGAGGGGUGAAGACCUAGCAGCGCCACUUUCUCCUCCCCUUCCCUCCCCUGACCCACCGCCGCCGGAGGCGUCGGCCGACGAAGCUUGUCUGUCUCCGGGGAUGGAGACGGCGGGGCGUCUUUCUACCUGGCGGGAAGCGGCGGGGUUGCUUCUCCGGCUAGCGCGUGUGGAGGUGGUGGCGGCGACGCAUGUUGCUCCGGCAUGGUGCCAUGCGGCGCACGGCCGUGCUCGAGGCCGUGGUGCACAACGCUGGUGUGAGCGCUGUUGGCCACUGGAUGGGGCGGAGGUCCCCCGCGUGGUCUGCUGGAUCUCGCGCCGGCGGGGCGGUUGCCGUGGUGGAGAGCAUGGGGCGCCGGCACGACUGUGCUAGGGGCUGUGGCAUGCUGCACUGGUGUGCGCGGGGUUGGUAGCUGACUUGGGCAGCGGCCUCCCGAGUGGCCUGCUGGUGCUAGUCUCCAUGUCAGGCAGGCGGGCUGCAGAUGUUUCGUCUCCUGUCGGUCCUCUUGAUGUGCUCCGGCCAGAUGCCGUGCUGGGGGUGUGGCUGUUAUUCCUCUUCCUUAUGCGGCAGCGCCGGCGAAAGGACGACGUGGUGCUGGACAGACUCCCUUCCCCUUCCUCCUCUGUGGAUAUUUCUUUCCUUUCUUCCUUACUGAUUUCAACAGUUUUCAUGGGUGCGCUUAUACUAAACAAAAUUAACAUUGUGGGUGUGCCGCUGGCUGUUGGUAUUGAUAAAAGAAACUGAUGCUCAUAUAUGUGCGGGGACAUAGUUUGUUGAGUAAGAUCAGCUAAUUCUUCCAACGCUGUCUACCUCAUAAAAGAAGUGGUGAGCUUUUCCUUCCCGUGUUAUAUUCUUCUAGGUCUUGGUCUUGCAGAUCCUUGCAAUUUUUUAUUUCUGUUUCAUGAGGGAAGAGAGAGAUUUCUUUGAUUCAGUGAAUUUAAGAGUAAGAAGGGGAAGAGAGGUUGAAAGGUUUUGGUAUUGAAUGCCUCCGUGGCCUUUCAGUAGGAGCAGUUCAUGCUUUUCUGUUUGUGUAGUUACUUUGAUAUUUCUUCUGAUUUAUUUGGCUUCAGAACAAGUUUUUUUUAGGGGAACGUUUCAGAACAACUUCCUUCCUACAUAUCUCUCACCAACAAGCUGAGAUUAUAUUUGCAGGCUAUAUGCAUGAGAAAUAAAAGAACAUGAUGUACCAAAGAACUUCACAGGCCAGAAAUGUGGUGAAUUUAUCAAAGCACCUUUUUUAUUCGUGGUGACAUCUAGCCAAUGAUGGGUGUGCAGCUGAAGGCCCUGUUGUUUUCUCUUGCUUUUUUUGAUUAUAUAUUUUGGUUUUGUACUCCUUUGAUCGACAAGUGGGAUGGUACGUUUGAUGGGUGUGCAGGUGAAGAUCCUAUUGGAUUGGCUUGAUUAGGAAAUGUUGUUUGCCUUGCUGAAUUUUGUUCAGUUAGUCAAAGAACCAUGUACCUUGCCUUGCCGACAACGUUGUAUAAUUUGUGAAGUUUUUACCAAUGUAAAGAGCGACUCAGAGAGCACGUCGUGCUCAUGCU